GGGAACGUACCCUUCGGUUCGGAAUAACUCAGGGAAACUUGAGCUAAUACCGGAUACGCCCUUUUGGGGAAAGGUUUACUGCCGAAGGAUCGGCCCGCGUCUGAUUAGCUUGUUGGUGGGGUAACGGCCUACCAAGGCGACGAUCAGUAGCUGGUCUGAGAGGAUGAUCAGCCACACUGGGACUGAGACACGGCCCAGACUCCUACGGGAGGCAGCAGUGGGGAAUAUUGGACAAUGGGCGCAAGCCUGAUCCAGCCAUGCCGCGUGAGUGAUGAAGGCCUUAGGGUUGCAAAGCUCUUUUGUCCGGGACGAUAAUGACGGUACCGGAAGAAUAAGCCCCGGCUAACUUCGUGCCAGCAGCCGCGGUAAUACGAAGGGGGCUAGCGUUGCUCGGAAUCACUGGGCGUAAAGGGCGCGUAGGCGGCCGAUUAAGUCGGGGGUGAAAGCCUGUGGCUCAACCACAGAAUUGCCUUCGAUACUGGUUGGCUUGAGACCGGAAGAGGACAGCGGAACUGCGAGU
This 520-nucleotide ribosomal RNA is filed under the name uncultured bacterium. RNAcentral describes it as "bacterial SSU rRNA". It matches the Rfam family "Bacterial small subunit ribosomal RNA", at positions 120 to 674 of the family's 1533-position model. The record is from RNAcentral.